RNAcentral lists this ribosomal RNA (120 nucleotides) under Pteropus alecto (black flying fox). Lineage: Eukaryota; Metazoa; Chordata; Mammalia; Chiroptera; Pteropodidae. The record is from RNAcentral.
GACUAUGGCCAUGCCACCCUGAACAAGCCCAAUCCCGUUUAAUCUCAUGAAGCUAAGCCGGGUUGGGCCUGUUUAGUACUUAGAUGGGAGACCACCUAGGAAGACCAGGUGCUGUAGGUG